AGCAGGAUGGGCUGGUCAGUGGGAUAGCCUCUGUGCACAUUUUGUGGCAAGUAGGAGUGACACAUCAUUCCUGGGAGGCCCCGUGGUUCCUGCCAAACCCAACCCCAGAAUUCUCCCUGAGGUGGUUUUACCAAACCCAUAACCCAGAACUGCUAUUGUGGUUUGGGGGUCAGCACCCACCAGUGCCAGGGCACUACUGGGAGGCUGGGACCUGACCAAAGCCCAUGGUGUCUGUGGCCUGAGGACAGGGUGUCUUGGGGCCAUGAGGACAGGCCACCAAUGGCCGUUGGGUCAUAGGGCCUGAGCCCCAGUGUUUGUCCUUCCCUGGCUCCUUCUGGUUCAGUCCCAUCAGGGCUCUGGAUCCCAAGACGCAGCAUCCAAGGUUCCCUCCAGGAAUCCUGGUGGCUCGGCUUACUUUGUCAUGUUUCAUCUGAUAGCAAAAAUAUCAGAUCGGCUGCACAGAAAAAUGGCUCAAAGUGCUUAAUGACCAGAAGAAAUCUGGGAGUAGCAAGAAGAGGUCUCAGGUGCUCUACAAGGGAGUCCCAUUUCAGGUGUGGGGCUGGGUAUGGUCACUCCUGCUGGAUGUCUAGAAGGUGAAAACCAAGGACCUAGGAAAAUACCAGAUACAGCCUUUCCACCGUCAUCCAGAGCAGGACAAACACGCCAGGUGGUGUCAGGAGCCCAGGUCUCCAGCUGGAGGGAAUGUCAACCCUGCAGUGGGAGCCCAUCAUGCAUCCUAGGCACAGAUGCUAACGUAGGCACCGCAGAAGCACUGCUGACUGUUUGGUGGUUGCUGUUAGGGCAGUGAGCCUUUUGUCCAUUCUGAGAUUAGGCUGGUUUCUCCUCUUGGCCCUGGCCUACAGACCAUAAAGGAAAACAGCAAGAGGUCCCCAGCAAACAUCUACAGAUGGCCCUGGACAUCAGCCACAUUCAGAGAAACGUGUCAUGUUCUGGGAGGGCUAAGGCAUCGAGAAUCCCAGUGAAUAUAUUGCCACCAUCUUGGAGCUCAGUGCCCUCAUAGUGUAACAGCACCAGCAGAUCUGCCUGUGCACAGACUUCCUGUACUACCUCACUCCUGAGGGGAGAUGCUUCUGCAGGGCCUGCGACCUGGUGCACAACUUUAGACACCAUCAUCCUGGAGCGGCACUGCACCCUCACUAGCCAGGGUGUUGAUGACUUCCUCAAUGCCAAGGCCACGUUCAAGAUUUUCGACUUCAGUGAUGCGUUUGUGCUGAGCAAGCCGUUUUGCACACCCUGGUCAGAAUGAAACAUUCCUUGGGAACUCGGGCCGUGAGAAGCAUCCUUCCUGAUCACCUGACUGUAGAAACAUCCUUAUCGCACCCUCCCGGGCAAAGGCCCAACAGCCUGACUGCAGGAACAUCCUUGCCAUAUCCUGCCGGGCAGCAAGCUCUACCGCCCACACCCCUCCUUCCCAGUCCCAUGAUCACCCCAGCCUGUGAGAGGCAGUUGGUGCUGGCAGUAAGCUGGUUUCCUCCUCUGCAGGGUUUUGCUAGUAAUAAAGGUGUUGCUGUUGAAGCCGU
Homo sapiens (human) is the source of this 1541-nucleotide long non-coding RNA. The record is from Ensembl. Lineage: Eukaryota; Metazoa; Chordata; Mammalia; Primates; Hominidae.